RNAcentral lists this non-coding RNA (926 nucleotides) under Scinax staufferi (Stauffer's longnosed treefrog). RNAcentral's name for it is "partial 12S small subunit ribosomal RNA". It matches the Rfam family "Bacterial small subunit ribosomal RNA". The record is from RNAcentral. Lineage: Eukaryota; Metazoa; Chordata; Amphibia; Anura; Hylidae.
UGGUCCUGGCCUUAUAAUCAAUUGUUACUCAACUUACACAUGCAAGUCUCCGCACCCCUGUGAGAACGCCCUUAGACCCCUUUAGGGGUCAGGAGCCGGUAUCAGGCUCGACCCUCAGCCCAUGACACCUAGCUAUGCCACACCCACAAGGGUACACAGCAGUGAUUAAUCUUGAAUAUUAGCGCAAGCUUGAUUCAGUCAGAGUAAGGAGAGCCGGCAAAUCUGGUGCCAGCCGCCGCGGCCACACCACGGGCUCAAAUUGAUUAUACUCGGCGUAAAGCGUGAUUAAAGCUACCUUAAACUGCAGUUAAACUGGAGCUAGAUCGUGAAAAUUCAGAAUCCAGGAAGCACAAAAACGAAAGUCACUGCAAAACAACCCACUUGACUUCACAACAGUUAGGAAACAAACUGGGAUUAGAUACCCCACUAUGCCUAACCGUAAACUUUAACUUACACCCAAAUCGCCGGGGAACUACGAGCAAUGCUUAAAACCCAAAGGACUUGACGGUGCCCCACACCACCUAGAGGAGCCUGUCCUAUAAUCGAUGAUCCCCGUUUAACCUCACCACUCUUUGUCUUUUCAGUCUGUAUACCUCCGUCGUCAGCUUACCACGUGAGCGAUUUCAGUAGGCAAAAAGGUCUCUACACCAAAACGUCAGGUCAAGGUGCAGCUUACAGAGUGGGAAGAGAUGGGCUACACUCUCUAAUAUAGAACACACGAAAGACUAAAUGAAAUUUUUAGUCGGAAGGCGGAUUUAGCAGUAAGACGAGACGAGAGAGCUCGUUUAAACACGGCCCUGGGGCGUGUACACACCGCCCGUCACCCUCUUCAAGACUCUCAAUUAUACUAGUACUUAACACCCUAUCUGUUAAAAAGAAGAGGCAAGUCGUAACAUGGUAAGCUUACCGGAAGGUGUGCUUGGAAA